CCAUUAAUCCCGCUGAAAUUUACUGCCACUUGGACAGAGGAGGUGCACAUGCCCAACAUCAGGAAAGCAGCAUUAUGAAAAGGAAGAAAGAAAGGCAAGUGAUCCCAUUUUGCAGGUCUCCUGACACCUACAGGACACCAAAGCCAGGCCCUUAAACAGACGGCGGCGAGGCAGGAUAGUGACCUUCCACGUUUGUCUGACUGAUUCUUGGCAACUUCAUCCUCUGCCUCCCCAAUAAUCUCUUGUUUGACUCCAGCCACCUGUUUCCCACUUCCCCAGAGUACACAGCUGUAGCCAACUAGAAACAGAUGAAAGUGUGACCUGUGACCUGUAUUGAAGUUUUGCCUGAAGACACCAACCCCUGACAAUCCUAUUACGAAGAGCACAG
This 388-nucleotide long non-coding RNA is filed under the name Capra hircus (goat). RNAcentral describes it as "lncRNA (ENSCHIG00000004342.1)". Lineage: Eukaryota; Metazoa; Chordata; Mammalia; Artiodactyla; Bovidae. The record is from RNAcentral.